AGUUAAACUGCACAGGUUAGUUGCGUGUUUAUAUACAUUGUAACCCAUGGCAACCAAUCGCCAUUUUGUAAAGUGGUCUCCGGUAUCAUGCAAAUAUCUCAUUACGGCUAGUUCAAAACGUCAUCCAGAAUUAGGGUCGAAUGAUCCUCCUGAGUAGCACAUGAAGUAAUGCAGUCGAUUUUUUUCCGGAACCAUAGGUAUCCUUUUGCUACAGAUUACCUUUUUUGCUUACGUAGAGAAACGAAGAAAAUAUUUUACCAUCCAAAUCUGCAAAUUCGAUUUUUCAAACUUGACUUUUUGAAGGAGAAACUGGUUUUACCAAAUUAUAGUGAUACGUGUUUUUUUGCAACUGUGACAGCUGUUAUUCCAUACAAAGAUGACAAACAAUUUAUAAAUUGUGCUAACUCUUG
Photinus pyralis (common eastern firefly) is the source of this 410-nucleotide long non-coding RNA. RefSeq lists it as uncharacterized. NCBI's taxonomy places the organism in Eukaryota, Metazoa, Arthropoda, Insecta, Coleoptera, Lampyridae. The transcript is spliced from 2 exons. The record is from RefSeq and is a predicted model, not a curated record.